Molecule: ribosomal RNA, 500 nt
Filed under: uncultured bacterium
Lineage: Bacteria
Description: partial 16S ribosomal RNA
Rfam family: Bacterial small subunit ribosomal RNA
Source: RNAcentral
AUUGAACGCUAGCGGGAUGCCUUACACAUGCAAGUCGAACGGCAGCACGGACUUCGGUCUGGUGGCGAGUGGCGAACGGGUGAGUAAUAUAUCGGAACGUGCCCAGUAGCGGGGGAUAACUACGCGAAAGCGUAGCUAAUACCGCAUACGCCCUUCGGGGGAAAGCAGGGGAUCGCAAGACCUUGCACUAUUGGAGCGGCCGAUAUCGGAUUAGCUAGUUGGUGAGGUAAUGGCUCACCAAGGACGCGAUCCGUAGCUGGUUUGAGAGGACGACCAGCCACACUGGGACUGAGAAGCGGCCCAGACUCCUACGGGAGGCAGCAGUGGGGAAUUUUGGACAAUGGGGGAAACCCUGAUCCAGCCAUCCCGCGUGUGCGAUGAGGGCCUUCGGGUUGUAAAGCACUUUUGGCAGGAAAGAAACGGCGCGUGUUAAUACCAUGCGCAACUGACGGUACCUGCAGAAUAAGCACCGGCUAACUACGUGCCAGCCGCCGCCGUAA